Molecule: long non-coding RNA, 1274 nt
Organism: Populus nigra (black poplar)
Lineage: Eukaryota; Viridiplantae; Streptophyta; Magnoliopsida; Malpighiales; Salicaceae
Exons: 2
Source: RefSeq, a predicted model, not a curated record
UGCGUCAUUCAAUGGCUUCCUUUGUCUCUCUUUUUUUUUUAAUAUAAAUGUCAGGUGGGCGUGGAGACGGAAGUAACAGUGGCGAGAGGGUAGCCAAAGAAGAGAGCUCUCAAGAAGUUCAGUUUUAGAGGCGUUUAUUUAGAUGCUCUCCUUGACAUGUCCACCGAUGUACUUGUCAAGCUCUUUCCCGCCAGAGCUGGCUGCAGGGUUUUGGGUUUGUUGCAACGACGGGUUUCAAAGAGGUGUGAAGAGGAAGCCAAUGGCAUCGAUCAAGAAAUUGCGUAAAGCUGUAAGAUAAUUUCUUUUCUUCUAUAUCUCUCUGUAUUUGUUUAUGACUUCAUAAGAUAGCAAUUCCCACUGUGCAAUUUGGUAUUGAGUAGUGUUAUCAUGUGUUCAUUUCACAUUAUGGGAUGCGUUUUCGUUUCUUUAUCUCUUCACUCUUUGUCUCUUGUUUGUGUUGAUCAAGAUCGAUCUGCAAUUGCAAUCAUGGUGCUCGAGAUUGGGAUUUGUGACUGAUUGGUGAUUUGAUAAAUUUGCUGCUGCUGGUGAUUUUUUUCUUCUUCUUGUACAUGUUUACGCUUUCGUAUCACGAGGCUUGAAAAUUGUGGCUAGUGCAUGACAUAGAAUGGACCAAGUGAAGUCUGGUGGUAAGGCUACAGACUACAGUUGUGACAAAAAAGAAACCAAAAUAAAUAAUAUUCGUGGACCAUCAAUCGUUUGUUAAUUUGCUAGAAUCAGCUAGACAGGAUUUUGAGGAAACCAUGCUUAGCUUUCUUGCUGUUUCUCUCAGCUAUAAAUGUUUGAUAACAUGUGAAAUCAAGCAUUUAUCCUGGUUUUCUGCUUGAGAAAACAAGCAUCGAUCUAGAUGUGCUCUGAAGCUCCCUUCUAAUGGCUUUGUAUACCACUCCUUGCCUACUCAUAGAUGUUUGUCCCUCGAAAGUUGGAGAGAGAACAUCUAUACUGCAAACACAUGGCACAUAUUCAGUUUUCACAGAAAAAUCAUGGCUGGUGAUAAGCAUUGAUUCUGCUAAACACAACUUGACUUGAAGAGUGCCAUAUACAGAUCAAAAAACACUGCAGAAGGUUCGUACGAUCAGCCCCAUUUUGGUAUAUGUUUUUAUGUGGAUGAACAAAUUGCCUCUUAAGUUUCUUCAAUGAGGCAAUGGUCACAUGAAUAUUGCUCUCAAAUAUUAUUAUUUUUUAACAAAAUUAAUGUACAUUAAUUGUGAACUACCCGCAGUGAAACUUGGACAACCAUUUGGUUUUUUGCUAAA